UACGAAGGUGGCAAGCGUUACUCGGAAUUACUAGGCGUAAAGGGCAGGUAGGUGGUUUGGUUAGUCUGUUGUGAAAGCUCCCGGCUUAACUGGGAGAGGUCAACGGAUACUGCCGAACUUGAGUAUAGGAGAGGUUACUGGAAUUCCCGGUGUAGCGGUGAAAUGCGCAGAGAUCGGGAGGAACACCAAUGGCGAAGGCGGGUCUCUGGGCCGAUACUGACGCUGAGGAGCGAAAGCGUGGGGAGCGAACAGG
This 253-nucleotide ribosomal RNA is filed under the name uncultured bacterium. Its description in RNAcentral is "partial 16S ribosomal RNA". It matches the Rfam family "Bacterial small subunit ribosomal RNA", at positions 524 to 776 of the family's 1533-position model. The record is from RNAcentral.